UGUGAGCAAUGUUUUGAUCCAUAAUAGGAUUAACGACGUGAAGAAUGAUUUACGAAUUUAUUUGUAAUAUAAAUUUGAAACUAUGUUUAUGAAAAAUGGAUGAUUUGUUCAUGCAUGAUUUGCUUUAUUCAUGAUAGACUGUACUAUGACAUGCUUAUUUUGGAAUAUCUAUUAUUUUUUUUAAUUGAUGCAUUGACAUUGAAAAACUUAUGCUUGAUCCGAUAAAGUAAUGUAAGAUUUACUUACUGAGUUGUGUCGCUCAUAUAUUUCUAUUUUUAUUUUUCUCUCUCUAGGCAAAUAGGGUCAAUAGGAAUGACAAAUGGUCCAGGCGUAGAGUUCGUGCUAGCAAGCCUGGCGAUCUAUACAACGGAAUUUUAGUUCUUCAGUUAAUUAUGAAUUUGUAGUUAAGUAAUUUUCUAAAUUUUGAGGAGUAUGGGUUUGAUAUUUAUGUUUGGAUUUAGAUGCUCUGAAUCAAUAUUGGUUGUAUUUAGUGGAUAAUGAAAUUGGAUUCUUAUUUAUUCUAUUUUUUUGAGAUGAAUUUGGAAGUUAAGAUAGAUUUGAAAUCUAAGAUUUAAGGUUUGGCUUCGUGUUAUCGUGGGUUAUACCCUAUGGUAGCACGGUCGUGUCAUGCUCCGGAUCUAAGGCAUGACAAAUAUGGUAUCAAAGCUUAGGUUUAGGAUCAUUGGGGAUUGUGAUAGAAAUGUAUCAAAUCUUGAGGUUAUGAUCACUUGGGACAUAACAAAAGUAGUAGAAAUAAAUUCAGUGCUUAUGUGUAAGUUUACUAGGCAUUGUAAUAAAAUGUAUCUAUUAGGUUUGGUAUUCGAUGAGUACAGAAGAAUUGGAUGAUUUAUCUCUGAUCAUGAUAAGAAAGGUUUGACCUAAGGUUAGUGUAGGAAGGUUAACCAUGAUAUACCAUAUUAGUAGGUUAUACGGUAUUGUGUUUAUUUGUUCAGAUGUUGUUUAAAUGAUUUGGAAGUUCCAACUUGAUAUGGGUGUAGAUGUGAUAGCCUUUUAGUCUUGCUGCUAAUUAUUAGAGUGAAAUUUGUACAUGGCUUUUCGAGUGGAAUUUGUACAUGGAUCUUUCAGAGUAUUGGAGUGAGCUGAGAAAGAUUUUUCAUAAUAUUGUAGAAAAAUAACAACAUUAUUUCCUAGUUCACAGUUUUGUUAUUAAAAAAAAUACUUUUCAGGUCGUAUGAACCUUUUUUGUGGAAAAAAAAGAAUUGGUUUAAGAUUUAAUUUUAGAACGAAAUGUUAUUUUAUGAUGGGAACAAUGGAAAUGCCAAAUUAUUGCCCUUAUUUGUGUUAUAACAGGCUGUUAUAACAUUAUAACAGCUGUCAAACCAUGGCUAAGACGAAUAUAAUUUUGGGAUAGUAGCAUGGAUGCUGAUGUGCGAAAUAGUGAAGCCCCAAAUCCGUU
RNAcentral lists this long non-coding RNA (1417 nucleotides) under Phoenix dactylifera (date palm). RNAcentral describes it as "long non-coding RNA (PDAC_LNC014737)". The record is from RNAcentral. Lineage: Eukaryota; Viridiplantae; Streptophyta; Magnoliopsida; Arecales; Arecaceae.